Molecule: long non-coding RNA, 440 nt
Filed under: Helianthus annuus (common sunflower)
Lineage: Eukaryota; Viridiplantae; Streptophyta; Magnoliopsida; Asterales; Asteraceae
Description: hypothetical non coding rna
Source: RNAcentral
UCACAACUCACCCUCAUCAUUCUCGACACACCCUCACAUCACCUUCAAACUCUCGUUCUUUCAUAACACUUGUCUGGUAAAUCGAAAGUCACCGGAGAAACCCACAGCUCGUCGGAGAAGUUCAACGCCAUCGGAGACACCCGGAGAUUUCAACGGAAAUCAUCUCCCUCGUUCUUGGUUAAUCGCUCUCGUUUGUUCUCUUGGAAUCUUUACUCGUGCGCUCUCACAAGAAAACGCAACGCAAUCAAUUAACAUCGUUUCGAGUAUAUACUGUCAAUAUGGUUGAAAGUACGAGAUUCAAGAAUCAAGCUAGGAUGAACUCUAGAAACCCACAUAACAUUUGAAUUAUUGUUGAACAAUAUGUUGUGUUGUUUGGAACUAUGUAUUUCACUUUAAAGUUUAUGAAAUGAAUUAAAUAAAUUAUUGUCACAUUUAGUGUU